Molecule: ribosomal RNA, 938 nt
Filed under: uncultured organism
Description: bacterial SSU rRNA
Rfam family: Bacterial small subunit ribosomal RNA
Source: RNAcentral
CUGGGCGUAAAGCGCGCGAAGCCGGACUCUUAAGUUGUUGGUAAACGCCGAGGCUCAACCUCGGAACUGCGUUCAAAACUGGGAGUCUAGAGGCUUGGAGAGGGAACUGGAAUUCCUGGUGUACCGGUGAAAUGCGUAGAUAUCAGGAGGAACACCGAUGGCGAAGGCAGCUUCCUGGCCAUGUCCUGACGCUGAGGUGCGAAAGCUAGGGUAGCGAACGGGAUUAGAUACCCCGGUAGUCCUAGCCGUAAACGAUGGAUACUAGGUGUUAGAGGUAUCGACCCCUCUAGUGCCGAAGCAAACGCAUUAAGUAUCCCGCCUGGGGAGUACGGCCGCAAGGUUGAAACUCAAAGGAAUUGACGGGGGCCCGCACAAGCGGUGGAGCAUGUGGUUUAAUACGUCACUAACCGUAGAACCUCACCCAGGCUUGACGUCUGCUGAAAGCGCCUGAAAGGGUGGCCCCGGUAUUUUUAUAUCGCAGCAAGACAGGUGUUGCAUGGCUGUCGUCAGCUCGUGUCGUGAGAUGUUGGGUUAAGUCCCGCAACGAGCGCAACCCUCAUCCGAUGUUGCCAGCGUAAAGUCGGGAACUCUUCGGAAACUGCCCGUGCAAGCGGGAGGAAGGUGGGGAUGACGUCAAGUCAGCAUGGCCCUUACGCCUGGGGCUACACACAUGCUACAAUGGAUGUAAACAAUGGGCAGCAAGACCGCGAGGUGGAGCAAAUCUCAAAAAUACAUCCUCAGUUCGGAUUGCAGUCUGCAACUCGACUGCAUGAAGUCGGAAUCGCUAGUAACCGCAGGUCAGCUAAACUGCGGUGAUACGUUCCCGGGCCUUAUACACACCGCCCGUCACGCCACCUGAGUUGUCUGCACCCGAAGUCGAUGGCCCAACCGCAAGGGGGGAGUCGCCGAAGGUGUGGGGAGCGAGGGGGACGAAGUCG